This 73-nucleotide transfer RNA is filed under the name Caudoviricetes sp. RNAcentral's name for it is "tRNA-Gln". It matches the Rfam family "tRNA". From Rfam's summary of the family: Transfer RNA (tRNA) molecules are approximately 80 nucleotides in length. Their secondary structure includes four short double-helical elements and three loops (D, anti-codon, and T loops). Further hydrogen bonds mediate the characteristic L-shaped molecular structure. tRNAs have two regions of fundamental functional importance: the anti-codon, which is responsible for specific mRNA codon recognition, and the 3' end, to which the tRNAs corresponding amino acid is attached (by aminoacyl-tRNA synthetases). tRNAs cope with the degeneracy of the genetic code in two manners: having more than one tRNA (with a specific anti-codon) for a particular amino acid; and 'wobble' base-pairing, i.e. permitting non-standard base-pairing at the 3rd anti-codon position. The record is from RNAcentral. Lineage: Duplodnaviria; Heunggongvirae; Uroviricota; Caudoviricetes.
AGCCUCGUCGCCAAGUUGGUAAGGCACAGGACUUUGACUCCUGCACUCGCUGGUUCGAGUCCAGCCGGGGCUG